CAUUAGUGUAUAUUAAAGUUGUUGCGGUUAAAAGCUCGUAGUUGGAUUUCUGUCGGGGAUGGCCGGUCCGGUCUAAGACUGUGUAUCAGGUCCAGCCUUGGCAUCCUCGUAUUCUUGCGAUCAUUAAUUUGGUUGUGGGUGUGCGACUUUUACUUUGAGGAAAUUAGAGUGUUCACGGCAGGCUUUCGCCCUGAAUAUAUUAGCAUGGAAUAAUAAAACAGGACCUUGGUACUAUUUUGUUGGUUUCUAGAACUAAGGUAAUGAUUAAUAGGGACAAUUGGGGGCAUUCGUAUUGACGUGUCAGAGGUGGAAUUCUUGGAUUACGUUACGACGAACUACUGCGAAAGCAUUUGCCAAGGAUGUUUUCAUUGAUCAAGAACGAAAGUUGGGGGAUCGAAGAUGAUCAGAUACCGU
This 414-nucleotide ribosomal RNA is filed under the name uncultured eukaryote. RNAcentral describes it as "bacterial SSU rRNA". It matches the Rfam family "Eukaryotic small subunit ribosomal RNA", at positions 592 to 1018 of the family's 1831-position model. The record is from RNAcentral.